RNAcentral lists this ribosomal RNA (253 nucleotides) under uncultured bacterium. RNAcentral's name for it is "partial 16S ribosomal RNA". It matches the Rfam family "Bacterial small subunit ribosomal RNA", at positions 524 to 776 of the family's 1533-position model. The record is from RNAcentral.
AACGUAGGAGACAAACGUUAUCCGGAGUUACUGGGCGUAAAGGGCGUGCAGGCGGUCUGUUAAGUCUGGCGUGAAAGCUCUCGGCUAAACCGGGAGAGGUCGUUGGAUACUGACGGACUAGAGGACGGUAGAGGCGUGUGGAAUUCCGGGUGUAGUGGUGAAAUGCGUAGAGAUCCGGAGGAACACCAGUGGCGAAGGCGAUACGCUGGGCCGUACCUGACGCUAAGACGCGACAGCAUGGGGAGCGAACGGG